AGUGAACGCUGGCGGUAUGCUUAACACAUGCAAGUCGAACGGCGGCACAGUAAGAUCUUUCUCGUGCGGGGGGGGGUGGGCAGCCGGGUGGUAAAUAGAGAGUAAUCUACUUUUUCGUGGGGGAUAACGGAGUGAAACUGACGCUAAUACGGCAUACUACCUACGUGUCGAAUGAUGGGUUCUUCGGACCUUGCGCGUUUGUAUGAGCCGAGCUCGUGUCGGCUUAGCUAGUUGGUGGGGUGCUGGCAUACCAAGGCGACGUUGCGUAGCUGGUGUGAGAGGAUGAUCAGCCACAAUGGAACUGAGACAAGGUCCAGACUCCUACGGGAGGCAGCAGUGGGGAAUAUUGGACAAUGGGCGCAAGCCUGAUCCAGCCAUACCGCGUGGGUGAAGAAGGACUUCGGGUUGUAAAGCCCUUUUGUUGGGAAAGAAAAGCAGCAGGUUAAUAUCCCGCUGUUCUGACGGUACCCAAAGAAUAAGCACCGGCUAACUUCGUG
Molecule: ribosomal RNA, 497 nt
Filed under: uncultured bacterium
Lineage: Bacteria
Description: partial 16S ribosomal RNA
Rfam family: Bacterial small subunit ribosomal RNA
Source: RNAcentral